Non-coding RNA from Pelobates cultripes (western spadefoot toad), 248 nucleotides. Lineage: Eukaryota; Metazoa; Chordata; Amphibia; Anura; Pelobatidae. The record is from the annotation of a GenBank genome assembly.
UUGGGUCUGACAGAUUAAUGGAAUUGGUUCGUGGGUCAGUCGCUGCUGCCACAUGGGACCGCUAUAACAAGGUUUGGAGGGAAUGGGACGGGUGGGAGAGGUCCAAAGGGGGCUUCCGGGACUCGGCCACUCGUCUGCAGGGUCUGGUUCUUCUCUUGGGGGAAUGGGAGGCCGCUGGGUUGUCUCCCUCAGCCAUUUCGCUGCGCUUGACAGGGCUCGGCUUCCUGUUUAAGUUGCAGGGUUGGGAA